UGUGUGUCGGGGGGGCAUAUUAAUAAUGAUACUUCUUAACUAUUUUAGAUGUUUGUGCAUUAAUUUGACUUAGCAAAUUUUGAAAACCAUAUUCAUAGUUUUUAUUUAAAUCUAGACACUGAAAAUCUUCUUUAUUAAUUUGCUCAUGUCUCAAUUUUCCACGCUCAUUGAUUAUAUCCAAAACCAGCAGCUUCUAGACGUAAAUUGCUUUUUACGAAGUACUCGCUAAACAUCUAUGCUCUAUUUUAAGUACAUGUGUCUCUGAAAAAUGAAAUAAAAAUCAAUUUCUCUGAAAAUAUAAAAUUUGUAAUCACAGAUCACUCAUUCCUCUCUAAUUAAUCUUUUGCAUCACUAUUAUUAAUGAUGUUUUAGAAGGUUUACACACAUUUGUAACGUUAGUAUCUUUUGAUAUUAACAAAUGAAUGGAACAUUUUCCACAAUCAAGCGUUGGAUAUUUUUUACAUUCAUUAAAUAUAUGAUUGAAAUUUAUUUAAUAAGCAUUCCUGAAUAACUAAAAUAAUUUAAAUAUUACUACUUUUAGAAAGGUAGAAGGCGUGCUGCAGAGGGCACUGGGUCCUGAGUCUAGAGUAUUGGACACACAUAGAAGUUAUUCCACUAAUUGGUUAUGUUACCUUGCAAAAUUCCUGAUAGUGCUAAGCCAGAUAACGGUCAGUUUCCAUAUGCAUAGGCUUGGGUGUUUACAAGGUUCUACUUAAAAUUCAUUUCAAAAAUUGUAUUGCUGUAAUAAAUGACAGUUAUUAUUGCUAAUUCUUCUAUUAUUAUUAAUAUUGUCAGCACAUUAAUGUUAAAACAGUUGAGACGUAUACCUAGCAGGCAAAAUGUAAGUUUAACUAUGUUGGAUCAGAAAAGGAUACCUUCACGCAAACAUUUUUUUUAAACCUGGUAUGGUCUGGUGCUAAGUGUGAGACAAGAGAUUUCAAUAAAGAGUUUCUUUCACUCUUUUCUUGAGGAUUCUAUAAACAAGCUGCAGAGAGAUGUAUUUACCCUAGAUUCUAAAACGCACCUAAGCAAGGUUAGGCAAGAUAACUGAAGAGCAGUCAAAAUUUAUGCAUAUGCAAAGAAGAAAUGCAAAGUCAAGUGAUAGUUUUUUUUAUUAGAGUUUAAACAGAUCAUUUGGAAGAGAUUAAUGGUUCAUCAUCACUGUGUCUCAUUUGGCUCAUUUUCUGACCAAAUUUUUACCUUUAGAAAAUGAAAUGAUAUUUCCAAGUAAAUUUUAUCUGAAGAAUAUUAACAAAGGACACAGUCAGUAAUGAAGACAGACAAGGCAAUUCAUAAAGGCAGAUUCACCUCAUACCCUCUGUCUGAUGCUAGGUGCAGAAAAUGGCAUUCUUCAAUUUCUCAGAAUGAGAAAAUCAUCCUUUUAUUAAUUUGCAUCUCUGCUUUAAUAUUUUUUGUUUUGUUUUGUUUUUUAAUUCAGUAAACACAAAACUUGAAAUUCUUGUUAACAGUAGUGGCUUAGGAUGGAAAUUCUUCACACUGUUCACAUUUUAGUAAAAUGUAUACAGACAUCCCCCCAAAUGCCUUUGCUGGGAUAUGUUUAGGUAGUUUCUAGUCUCCCUACUCACCUUAAAAAUGAAUAUUUGUAGUAGCACCUCAAAUAAAUUUGUUUCCACUCCAGAGCUAUGGCCUUGGAUUUUUCUCCUUUGUGUGUUCCUUGCCCCUCCGUUAGCCGUCCUUGAGAGUGUGACCUUCUAUGCUUUUCACCCCAGGUCUGUGCCUGUGACCUUGAUCCAGAUCACCAGGUACAGUAGAGAAACGAGCCGCUAAUCAUUCUAACUUCAACCCUUACCCACCCGUGCUCUUUCUUCAGAGUCUCCAAUCUCUGCCUCAAAGUGAUGCCCUAUUUCAAAGUAAAGUUGUUUCCAGGAAAAUGGCUUAUUCUCCAUCUGAUUCCACCAUGGUUAUCACGAGAAACAUGGCAGCACCCUUGUUCCAGAGACAGGAGGACUCCUGUAAGGAAGAGGCAGAAGGGAAGGCUGGAGGUGCUGGUCAGAAGCCACAGGAGGUGGUGACAGGAAAAGAGUCCGUGACAAGUGGAGCCACAUGGGAUAAGUGACAGUGGUGAUUGGGACACCAGCUAAAUCUGGUUAGGAGGUUCUGAUGAGAGUCUGUUACCCUUCAGCGACCUUCUAGGAAGACCAUUUCUGAUCUUCAACCUGAGCAUAGCCCUGAAAUCGUGAGUCACUGACUCAAUCCAUAAGAGCUGUAGGGCCACUCUCUGCUAAAGGUGUUCCUCCCCUCUCAGAAUCAGGAAGCACAGGAGAGAAGGCAGGGAGCUACCUCUGUUUCUCUUGCUAGAAUGGGACAUGCUUUGGCCUCCUCAUAUGGAGAGAGAGAGCAUCCCACUUGGAAUGUACAGGGAUUUUUCCAUGGAAACAAUAUUGACACAGGGAAAGGGGGUCCAUACUCCAAGAGUUUGGAAAGCUACUCUAUGUUCAAUAUGCAGGUCGGCUUUUAUGAAUUUGCCUCAGAAGCUAACCACAUUUCCAACACUCUUUCUCUAGUAAAGGUCAAGUUUAGGGUAAUGAGUUAAUAAGCCAGCUACUGGAACAUAGUGUAUUUUUAUGGAGCUGGAGUGAAUCUCUCCAUUGUGGGUGUGUACAGGGAAGUCAUGAGCCCCACCAACAGCAUUCCUCAGCCAAACCUCAGAAGCCAGAAUUCCAGCAGCGCUUCAGGAUUAUGAUGUUGACCUUCAG
Sapajus apella (tufted capuchin) is the source of this 2717-nucleotide long non-coding RNA. RefSeq lists it as uncharacterized. NCBI's taxonomy places the organism in Eukaryota, Metazoa, Chordata, Mammalia, Primates, Cebidae. The transcript is spliced from 2 exons. The record is from RefSeq and is a predicted model, not a curated record.